Molecule: ribosomal RNA, 428 nt
Filed under: uncultured prokaryote
Description: bacterial SSU rRNA
Rfam family: Bacterial small subunit ribosomal RNA
Source: RNAcentral
UGAGGAAUAUUGCGCAAUGGGGGCAACCCUGACGCAGCAACGCCGCGUGAGUGAGGAAGGUUUUCGGACCGUAAAGCUCUGUCGAGCGGGAAGAAGUGCAUGGUGGCUAAUAUCCAUUAUGCUUGACGGUACCGCUAGAGGAAGCACCGGCUAACUCCGUGCCAGCAGCCGCGGUAAUACGGGGGGUGCAAGCGUUGUUCGGAAUUAUUGGGCGUAAAGAGCGUGUAGGCGGCUGGAUAAGUCAGAUGUGAAAUCCCUGGGCUUAACCCAGGACGUGCAUUUGAAACUAUUCAGCUUGAGUAAGGGAGAGGAAAGUGGAAUUCCUGGUGUAGAGGUGAAAUUCGUAGAUAUCAGGAGGAACACCGGUGGCGAAGGCGACUUUCUGGCCCUAUACUGACGCUGAGACGCGAGAGCGUGGGUAGCAAACA